UCCAGUUCGUCAAUUUAAUUGUGGCCGCGGUUAAAUAAAGCUUAAAUAUAUCAUUCUUUGAGUAGUCCAACCUGCUGCACACGGUUUGCAAUUUUGGUGUUUGUAAAUAAUUUCGACAGCAUGUCGGAAAAAAUGCCACAAUUCUCAUAAAAAAGAAGUAACCCAUGCAAGGCACGGAUUAGCGACUGUUUGUCAUUUUGAGUGACGCUGACAUUUGUUUUUCGUCAUAAAGUGUAAGGAUUUGCAUGGAUGGAUGAACCCAAAUCAAGAUCAACGGUAUAGAUCGGAUCAUCAUUAUAUUCGUUUGCGGAUGUUUCCAAUUAAAUUGCAAAGAAAAUUUUACGUGAUGUGCUGCCUGUGGUUUGUCUUGAUUGAACAUUCGUGUCAGUGUAGCAUGCAGUGGAAUAAUUUUCGUCCAAUUUAUUUAUUUUUAUGCUACAAUUUCUGCAACCUCAACUUUUUUUUGUUGAUUUAUAUAAAACAAUGUUUAUUGACUCAGUGACAAACUUCAAACAAAAUGGGUAACAACAUUCUACUUACUAGCAGUAUUAUUAUCAUGAUUAUAAUGUGGGCAAGUAGAUAUAAAACUGUACUUUUAUAGCAAAAUAAAUAAAUAAAUAAAUAAAUACAUACUACCACACCGCAUAAUAUUCUCAAAAAAUAGUAAUAUCUUU
Molecule: long non-coding RNA, 674 nt
Organism: Folsomia candida
Lineage: Eukaryota; Metazoa; Arthropoda; Collembola; Entomobryomorpha; Isotomidae
Exons: 2
Source: RefSeq, a predicted model, not a curated record